Molecule: ribosomal RNA, 268 nt
Filed under: uncultured bacterium
Lineage: Bacteria
Description: partial 16S ribosomal RNA
Rfam family: Bacterial small subunit ribosomal RNA
Source: RNAcentral
UGUGACUGAGCGGCGGACGGGUGAGUAACGCGUGGGCAACCUGCCUUACACAGGGGGAUAACAGUUAGAAAUGACUGCUAAUACCGCAUAAGACCCCGGGACCGCAUAGGUUCCGAGGUAAAAACUCCGGUGGUGUAAGAUGGGCCCGCGUCUGAUUAGGUAGUUGGCGGGUAACGGCCCACCAAGCCGACGAUCAGUAGCCGACCUGAGAGGGUGACCGGCCACAUUGGGACUGAGACACGGCCCAGACUCCUACGGGAGGCAGCAG